UUAAUCACUAGUGGCUGUUAUGUUAAGCCUUAAAAUCUCUGUAAAAUACUUUUUCGAUCCGUGCCAACCUCCAUCCUCAGCCCUCAACUACCCACAACUCUCUCUUUUCCAACGCCACUGCCUACGAACACCUCUUCUCUCAAUCUCUCUCCUCUCCUAACAAAGUAACAAUCAUUUCCCCAGAUGACCACCCCGACCGACAUCCCCCCACAGAGCCACCACAGAUUAAUCGACACUCUACACUGGAGAGGGUGCAAGUUUGGCUAUCUUAAUUGAUUUGUUAAUUUCUGAUGGCGAGCUUUCUACAAUGCUUCUCCAGCCAUGCUCGUCUUUCUCGAACCACUCUUGUCCCAGGGUCCAAACCUUUUUUGGUGGAUAUCAUUUGGGGAGGUCAAAUCUGGUGAGUGACUAAUCAAGCCACUCUUCUUAGAGUCAAUACCAAACCCAAACUACUUGACGAUGAUGUAAUUGCAACAUUUAACACCUUCACCCUUUCCCGUGCCCUCAACACAGCCACUACAGCAAAUGAGACUCAGACCUAGAAGCUUAAGCGCAUUGUCGACGAGCUCCUUAACCUCACAAAGCUUGAGAGGCACGAUUAUUCCUCAUUUGCAGGCUGAAAAUGGGCCUCAAUCGGUACAGACUAGCAAUCUCGAGUAUUGGAUCAGCAUCUUCUGACUCUGGGCCUGCUUCUAUAGAAUCCAAGGUUGCAAAGAAGAUUGCAUGUGAUAUAAAGAUUGAGAAAUUUGACGCAGUGGCAAAGAUCAAGAUCAUAAAGGAGGUUAGGACUUUCACUGAAUUGGGACUGAAGGAGGCUAAAGAAUUAGUGGAGAAGGUCCCUGUUGUGGUGAAGAAAGGGUUAACCAAGGUGGAGGAGAGACUAUUGUCAUAUUUUAUUUUCGAUGGCGAUUUUUGUGCUACUAUUUCGAUCAUCUGCACUUUAAGCUGAAUAUUUUACAGUUAUUUUUACACUCAGCAUGAGUGCAAGAGGACAAAACAGACGUAUAAAUAUCACUGACUACUGUUGUG
Pyrus x bretschneideri (Chinese white pear) is the source of this 1029-nucleotide long non-coding RNA. RefSeq lists it as uncharacterized. The transcript has 3 exons. The record is from RefSeq and is a predicted model, not a curated record. Lineage: Eukaryota; Viridiplantae; Streptophyta; Magnoliopsida; Rosales; Rosaceae.